This is a long non-coding RNA of Daphnia pulex (common water flea), 479 nucleotides long. RefSeq lists it as uncharacterized. The transcript has 2 exons. NCBI's taxonomy places the organism in Eukaryota, Metazoa, Arthropoda, Branchiopoda, Diplostraca, Daphniidae. The record is from RefSeq and is a predicted model, not a curated record.
UGGAGGCAAAUUAGGUAUAUAUAAUAACAUCUCGUUUACGUGUUCUCUAUCACAAUCUAUUCUGUCCAGCACGAUGCUUAAGGUUGUCUGUCUGUGUCUUCUCGUCUUGGCCGUCUGCGGCCCCGUCAUACUCGCAGGGCCCAUUGAGGAACAAUUUUACCAACCGGAUCUCGAUCCCGAGUCGUCCAAUUGGCACUACAGACGACAUGUUUAUCGUGCCCGUACAACCCAAAGGCCCAACGUGAACAAAGAUGGAAACCAGCGCUUCUUUGGAGGUGCUUAUCGCCCUGGCUACGGAGCUUUCAAGGGCUAGAAUGAAGCUCAGAAUUUUAUUAUUGACAAUCAGAAUAUGUUUUACGUUAUUAUUUUGUGUAAUCGAACUCAACAACACCUCAGCAUCAUCUUUAAUAACAAUAGUAUUUAAAAAACCGCUUUUAUACCAAUUAUUCUGAGCUGAAAUAAAAUUUUUGUGUUACAAA